CCCGGGCCUUGUACACACCGCCCGUCACGCCAUGGAAGCUGGGGGGACCUAAAGUCGGUGGGCUAACCCAAAAGGAAGCAGCCGCCAAAGGUCAAUUCAGUGACUGGGGCG
Molecule: ribosomal RNA, 111 nt
Filed under: uncultured bacterium
Lineage: Bacteria
Description: partial 16S ribosomal RNA
Rfam family: Bacterial small subunit ribosomal RNA
Source: RNAcentral